ACCAUCCUUGUCUUGGGUUGUGAGACUGUUCAAUGAAUGAAUAGUGAGAACAGUCCUGCUGACACCACUGACAACACAACUGCAUCACUAGUGUAAAUGCAUUAGUAAGGUGCAAUUUUUGGAAUC
Non-coding RNA from Pelobates cultripes (western spadefoot toad), 126 nucleotides. Lineage: Eukaryota; Metazoa; Chordata; Amphibia; Anura; Pelobatidae. The record is from the annotation of a GenBank genome assembly.